GGUCAGGAUGAACGCUGGCGGCGCGCCUAACACAUGCAAGUCGAACGGUGAAGUCCUCGGGGCGGAUCAGUGGCGGACGGGUGAGUAACGCGUGAGUAACCUGCCCUUACGAGCGGAAUAACGUCCGGAAACAGACGCUAAUACCGCAUGACACGUGCUUCCGGCAUCGGAGGCACGUCAAAGAUUUAUCGCGUAAGGAUGGACUCGCGUCCCAUUAGAUAGUUGGCGGGGCAACGGCCACCAAGUCAGCGAUGGGUAGCCGGACUGAGAGGUUGAACGGCCACAUUGGAACUGAGAGACGGUCCAGACUCCUACGGGAGGCAGCAGUGGGGAAUAUUGGGCAAUGGGCGAAAGCCUGAACCCCCAGCGACGCCGCGUGAGCGAAGAAGGUCUUCGGAUUGUAAAGCUCUGUUGACAGGGACGAAAAAAUGACGGUACCUGUCGAGGAAGCCACGGCUAACUACGUGCCAGCCGCCGC
This 478-nucleotide ribosomal RNA is filed under the name uncultured bacterium. RNAcentral describes it as "bacterial SSU rRNA". It matches the Rfam family "Bacterial small subunit ribosomal RNA", at positions 22 to 518 of the family's 1533-position model. The record is from RNAcentral.